UUCCGAGGAGCGCUGCAACAGGGCCUGUCGCCCUGCCAGGCUCGGUCGGGGGUCCGCCUGUUCCAACGGCGCUCACUCA
Molecule: non-coding RNA, 79 nt
Filed under: uncultured Thiohalocapsa sp.
Lineage: Bacteria; Pseudomonadati; Pseudomonadota; Gammaproteobacteria; Chromatiales; Chromatiaceae
Description: S-adenosyl-L-homocysteine riboswitch
Rfam family: SAH (S-adenosyl-L-homocysteine) riboswitch aptamer
Source: RNAcentral